AUGAAGCUGGGUGGCCUCUGCCUCCUGCUCCUCCUCGCCGUCCUUCUCACCCUCAAUGCAGAGUUCCAAGCAGUUGAUGUAGGUAUCUGUGUGACGGAGUGCAAGGUAGACCAGGACUGUGGGGCAGGAAGACGAUGCACCAGCAAUGGAUGUGGCCGGGUCUGCUCCCCAGUCCGGCGAAGAGAGGCCUGCGAGCACCAGUGCAGAGAAGACAGGGACUGUGGGAGUGGACAUCAGUGCGUGAGGAAGGGCUGUGGGCACGUCUGCGCCCCCGUCCAUCAAGUCGAUGUAGGUAUCUGUGUGACGGAGUGCCGUGUAGACCAGGACUGUGGGGAAGGAAGACAAUGCACCAGCAAUGGAUGUGGCCGUGUCUGCUCCCCAGCCCAGCAAAGAGAGGCCUGCGAGCACCAAUGCAGAGAAGACAAGGACUGUGGGAGUGGACAUCAGUGCGUGAGGAAGGGCUGUGGGCACGUCUGCUCCCCCAUCCCUCAAGUAGGUGAGUCUGGACUUUCUGUAGAGUGAAAUGGACUUGAGCUUUCAAGGCAAAUGUCCUUGGAUUCAAAUCCCAACUCUGCUGUUGACCAGACAGCCCCUUCAUGUCCUCAAUCUAUGAAAUACAAAAUAAGAAAACUUACCAGUUAAAGCCCAUUUUGGUUACCAUUAACCUGCUUUCUUUGCAG
This 680-nucleotide long non-coding RNA is filed under the name Sus scrofa (pig). RNAcentral describes it as "lncRNA (ENSSSCG00045013342.1)". The record is from RNAcentral. Lineage: Eukaryota; Metazoa; Chordata; Mammalia; Artiodactyla; Suidae.